This 254-nucleotide ribosomal RNA is filed under the name uncultured bacterium. RNAcentral's name for it is "partial 16S ribosomal RNA". It matches the Rfam family "Bacterial small subunit ribosomal RNA", at positions 524 to 776 of the family's 1533-position model. The record is from RNAcentral.
UACGAAGGGUGCAACCGUUGCUCGGAAUUAUUGGGCGUAAAGCGCACGUAGGCGGCUUAGCAAGUCGGAUGUGAAAUCCCUCGGCUCAACCAAGGAAGUGCAUCCGAAACUGCUGAGCUUGAGUACUUAAGAGGAUCGCGGAAUUCCCGGUGUAGAGGUGAAAUUCGUAGAUAUCGGGAGGAACACCAGUGGCGAAGGCGGCGACCUGGGCCAAUACUGACGCUGAGUGAGCGAAAGCCAGGGGAGCAAACGGG